RNAcentral lists this ribosomal RNA (194 nucleotides) under Gracilibacillus halotolerans. RNAcentral describes it as "Bacterial small subunit ribosomal RNA". It matches the Rfam family "Bacterial small subunit ribosomal RNA", at positions 1 to 177 of the family's 1533-position model. The record is from Rfam by way of RNAcentral. Lineage: Bacteria; Bacillati; Bacillota; Bacilli; Caryophanales; Bacillaceae.
UUUAUUGAGAGUUUGAUCUUGGCUCAGGACGAACGCUGGCGGCGUGCCUAAUACAUGCAAGUCGAGCGCGGGAAGCAAACCGAUUCCUUCGGGAUGAAGUUUGUGGAACGAGCGGCGGACGGGUGAGUAACACGUGGGCAACCUACCUGUAAGACUGGGAUAACUCCGGGAAACCGGGGCUAAUACCGGAUAGA